UAGGGAAUAUUGCACAAUGGAGGAAACUCUGAUGCAGCCAUGCCGCGUGUGUGAAGAAGGCCUUCGGGUUGUAAAGCACUUUCGGAGGGAAGAUAAUGACGGUACCCUUGGAGGAAGCCCCGGCUAACUACGUGCCAGCAGCCGCGGUAAUACGUAGGGGGCAAGCGUUAUCCGGAAUUAUUGGGCGUAAAGAGUGCGUAGGUGGUUACCUAAGCAGGGGGGUGAAAGGCAUUGGCUUAACCAAUGUUAGCCCCCUGAACUGGGCUACUUGAGUGCAGGAGAGGAAAGCGGAAUUCCUAGUGUAGCGGUGAAAUGCGUAGAUAUUAGGAGGAACACCAGUGGCGAAGGCGGCUUUCUGGACUGUUACUGACACUGAGGCACGAAAGUGUGGGGAGCAAACAGGAUUAGAUACCCUGGUAGU
RNAcentral lists this ribosomal RNA (421 nucleotides) under uncultured bacterium. Its description in RNAcentral is "bacterial SSU rRNA". It matches the Rfam family "Bacterial small subunit ribosomal RNA", at positions 355 to 794 of the family's 1533-position model. The record is from RNAcentral.